Molecule: ribosomal RNA, 459 nt
Filed under: Salmonella enterica
Lineage: Bacteria; Pseudomonadati; Pseudomonadota; Gammaproteobacteria; Enterobacterales; Enterobacteriaceae
Description: bacterial SSU rRNA
Rfam family: Bacterial small subunit ribosomal RNA
Source: RNAcentral
AAAUUGAAGAGUUUGAUCAUGGCUCAGAUUGAACGCUGGCGGCAGGCCUAACACAUGCAAGUCGAACGGUAACAGGAAGCAGCUUGCUGCUUCGCUGACGAGUGGCGGACGGGUGAGUAAUGUCUGGGAAACUGCCUGAUGGAGGGGGAUAACUACUGCAAACGGUGGCUAAUACCGCAUAACGUCGCAAGACCAAAGAGGGGGACCUUCGGGCCUCUUGCCAUCAGAUGUGCCCAGAUGGGAUUAGCUUGUUGGUGAGGUAACGGCUCACCAAGGCGACGAUCCCUAGCUGGUCUGAGAGGAUGACCAGCCACACUGGAACUGAGACACGGUCCAGACUCCUACGGGAGGCAGCAGUGGGGAAUAUUGCACAAUGGGCGCAAGCCUGAUGCAGCCAUGCCGCGUGUAUGAAGAAGGCCUUCGGGUUGUAAAGUACUUUCAGCGGGGAGGAAGGUGUUG